UGGGGAAUAUUGCACAAUGGGCGAAAGCCUGAUGCAGCAACGCCGCGUGAGUGAUCAAGGCCUUCGGGUUGUAAAGCUCUGUCUUCUGGGACGAUAAUGACGGUACCAGAGGAGGAAGCCACGGCUAACUACGUGCCAGCAGCCGCGGUAAUACGUAGGUGGCAAGCGUUGUCCGGAUUUACUGGGCGUAAAGGAUGCGUAGGCGGAUACUUAAGUCAGAUGUGAAAAUCCCGGGCUUAACUUGGGAACUGCAUUUGAAACUGGGUAUCUAGAGUGCGGGAGAGGAAAGUGGAAUUCCUAGUGUAGCGGUGAAAUGCGUAGAGAUUAGGAAGAACACCGGUGGCGAAGGCGACUUUCUGGACCGUAACUGACGCUGAGGCAUGAAAGCGUGGGGAGCAAACA
Molecule: ribosomal RNA, 402 nt
Filed under: uncultured bacterium
Lineage: Bacteria
Description: bacterial SSU rRNA
Rfam family: Bacterial small subunit ribosomal RNA
Source: RNAcentral